ACUGUCAGCGGACAGAUUAGCGACGAAAUAAGCGACAGUUUACUGCCAUAUUAGCAUCUUUUAAAUGAAUAUAUGAAAUAUUUAUUCCUUAAAUACAUACCUUGUAUUUCUUGUAAGUACAGGUUAGCUAUGCGUCUUUACACAAUACUUAGCUAGUUGUUGUUAAUUAGCAUAUUAACCAUAAGGACAGCUGCUAGCUUACCUGCUAAUUUAUACUUUUGUUUUAGCUUCAUGUUUAUGCGAAGACUCGUUAUUAGGGCCGACCUGACUGUUGAGCAGCACUAAACUACAAUGAGAGACGCAGCACCAGAGGAAGUAAAACUGAUGCCACCUGCAUUAAACAAGAGGACACUGAACAGCAACAACGAGCCACAGCAGACAACCCCCCAAGAGAUGGAAUGCACACUUGCAAAUCAGGAGAAAUCUCCACCAUCAGAGAAAAAUGCUCCAUCUGAAAUGUCUGCUUUGGAGUCCGCUUGUUCAUUUGAGGAUACAGCUACAGGCACGAGUAGAGAGAUCAGCAUGCUGGC
Long non-coding RNA from Acanthochromis polyacanthus (spiny chromis), 530 nucleotides. RefSeq lists it as uncharacterized. The record is from RefSeq and is a predicted model, not a curated record. NCBI's taxonomy places the organism in Eukaryota, Metazoa, Chordata, Actinopteri, Pomacentridae. The transcript has 4 exons.